CUGCAGCCCGAGUGGUGGUCGAUAUUAUUGAGCCUAAAGCGUCCGUAGCCGGACCAGUAAAUUCUUGGGUAAAUCGGGCAGCUUAACUGUCCGACUUCCGAGGAGACUGCUGGUCUUGGGACUGGGAGAGGUCAGAGGUACUCCAGGGGUAGGGGCUAAAUCCUGUAAUCCUUGGGGGACCACCAGUGGCGAAGGCGUCUGACUAGAACGGAUCCGACGGUAAGGGACGAAACCCUGGGGCGCAAACCGGAUUAGAUACCCGAGUAGUCC
Molecule: ribosomal RNA, 270 nt
Filed under: uncultured archaeon
Lineage: Archaea
Description: partial 16S ribosomal RNA
Rfam family: Archaeal small subunit ribosomal RNA
Source: RNAcentral